AAUUGCCAGUCCGUUGCUGCAGCGUUCCCUUCCGGUCAGCACGGAGCAGGAAGCCCGGUGCACUUAUUUCCGCAGGGAUGGGGUUGCUAUUGACAACAGCCGACGGUCGCGAUCCGCGGCCUCCAUGGCGCUUCUGAUCCGCGAUCUACAGCGGGCAGUACCACUCCGCCGGGCCCGGCUUCGGCGAGACUGCCAGAUCUUGCGCCAGAUUCUUGGUGUAGGCCGCUUCGACCUAGGGCUGAUUUGUGUGGACGACCGGAGGAUGCGGAUCUUGAACGGACGUUACCGGGGACGGGACGCGGCCACCGACGUGUUGUCCUUCCCCUUCCACCCGGUGAGACCCGGGUUCGAGUGCUGGGGGUCGGGUCGAGUCCACCCUUCACUCCCACUUAGAUCCUUCCAUCAACGCAGAUUCGAUCUUGGAGUAGGAGAUAUGCCCAAACCCUUACAUCAGGAUGAAUAUAACCUUGGAGACAUUUUCCUAGGAGUCGAAUAUAUCUACAGACAAAGCCAAGUACAUGGGCAAGAUUUCUACAGUGUACUAACUGUAACUACAUUACAUGGAAUCUGCCAUCUGCUGGGCUACAGGCACAGUACAGAAACUGAAUGGAAACAGAUGUUCCAGAGAGAAUCCAACACCCUUCAAUUGUUUAAUAGACUCACUGGGUCUAAUCUUCAGCCACUAACACAGAACAGCUUCUAACCACAAUUGCAGAUGCUGCCUGACCUGCAGAGUUCCUCCAGCAUUUUAUAUGCUGUGCUCUGGAUUUGCAGCAUCUGCAGAAUCUCUUGUGCUCACGAACAAAAUGAUUGCUAUUCCAGAUCCAUUGCAGCAUUAAAAAUUCGCAGCCACAAGACAAAGAGACACAAUAGAAUUGAUGAAAAAUAACCCAUACAACAAAGACUGUCAAACAUCCAAUGUACAAAAAGAAUCGUACAAACGAUAAAGAAAGUAAACAAAAAAUACACAGAACAUGAAUGGCAGCAGAUCUGGGAGCCCAAAAGCUGCAGGCCACAUCCAUGGAGCCAAUUCAACACUGAGGCGAGUGCUGCUGGUUACAGGAGUAUCAUUUGACAUCAGUCAUCUGGUUGUGCAUUAGUGAAUGACAGUAAUCAUAGCAGCAAUCCAUUUCAAUCACUCCUUAACAGCUUUCCCCAGUCUGAGCAAUUACUUUUUACGUUAUAUGGGGGGAUUGAGUUCAAGAGCCAUGAGGUAAAAUUGCAACUCUAUAACACCCUGGUUAGACCAUGCAAGGGAUAUUGUGUUCAGUUCUGGUCUCCACAUUAUAGGAAGGAUGAGGAAGCUUUAGAGAGGGUGUAGAGGAGAUUUACCAGGAUGCUGCCUGGACUAGAGAACAUGUUUUCUGAGUAUAAGUUGAGUGAACUAACGCUUUUCUCUCUGGAUAGGAGGAGGAUGAGAGAUGAUUUAAUAGAUGUGUAACAAGAUGAUAAGAGGCACAGAUCAAGUGACUAGCUGGAGACUUUUUCCCAGAAUGGAAAUAGCUAAUGCAAAGAGGCAUAUUUUUCCAUUUAUUUGUUUGUUUAUUUAGAGAUACAAUAUGGACUAAGAUUUGAUUACAUCUUUUUAGAAUAGACAGGAUUUUUAUGGAUUUGAUUUCAAUUUUUACCAACAGACUCACACCACUCCCUCUACCCACCUGCCUGUCCUUUUUAUAUAAUGUGCAUCAAUGACCUUCUUUCAGCCACGACUCAAUGAUGCAAACAUCAUACCUGCCGAUCUCUAACUACACUGCAAGCAUGUUCAGUCCUGUGUUCAUCACCCUUUCAAUUUUGCCCUGAGUUACACUUCAGCUCAUCCCACUGACUGCAGUUUUUCCAUCUCAUCUGCUUGUUUUUCCUCACAGUCUACUACACACUGUAUCUACUUGAAUAUCAACUGUGGUAUCCUCAGUUCUAUCACUCUGGUUCCCAUCCCCUUGCCAAAUUAGUUUAAACCCUCCCCAAUAGCUGUAGCAAACCUGCCCACAAGGAUAUUGGUCUCUACACCCUCCCCCAAGUUCAGGUGUAACCCAUCCUUGUGUAGGUUGUACUGUAUCUUUCCCAGAAGAGAUUCCAAUGAUAGAAAAAUUUGAAACUCUGACCCUAGAACCAAUUCCUCAGCCACACAUUCAUCUGGCAGAUUAUCGUAUUCUUACCCUCACUGGUGCAUUGCACAUACAGCAAUCCAGAAAUUACUGCCCUGGAGGUCCUGCUUUACAGCUUUCUACCUAACUCCCUAAAUUCUCUCUUCAGGACCUUCUCUCCUUUCCUGCCUAUGUUGUUGGUACUAAUAUGUACCACAACUUCUAGCUGCUCACCCUCCCCCUUUAGACCUGAUUUGAGACAUCCCUGACCCUGGCACCUGCGGGAAAAUACACCAUUCAGGUUUCUUUUUCACAUGCUUAGAAUCCCCUGUCAGUACUGCUCUCCUCUUUUCCCCCUUCCCUCCUGAGCCACAAAGCCAGACUCAGUGCCAGAGACCUGGUCACUGUGACUUCUCCCAGCAGGUCAUACCCUACCCCCCCAAUAAUUUACAAAUUGGUAUACGUAUUAUUGAGGGGAACAGCCACGGGGGUACACACUGCUCUGGCUGCCUAUUCCAUUUCCCUCUCCUGAAUCACCCAGGAACCUGCUUCCUGCAACUUAGGGGGUGACUGCCUCCUGUAGCUCCUAUUUAUCAAUUCCUCAUUCUCCCAUAUGAGCUGAAGAUCAUCAAGCUGCAGAUUCAGUUCCUUAACACAGCCACUUAGGAGUUGUGUUGGCGCGUGGCCUAGUGGAUAAGGCAUUGGCUUAGUGAUCUGAAGGUCACUGGUUCGAGCCUCAGCUGAGGCAGCGUGUUGUGUCCUUGAGCAAGGCACUUAACAACACAUUGCUCUGUGACAACACUGGUGCCAAGCUGCUUGGGUCCUAGUGCCCUUGGACAACAUCGGUGGCAUGGAGAGGGGAAGGCUUGCAGUUUGGGCAACUGCCCAGGCCUGUGCCCUGGAAACCUUCCAAGGCGCAAAUCCAUGGUCUCACUUUUAUUUAUUUUUAUUUUUAGGAGCUGCAGCUUGACACACUUCAUGCAGAUGCAGUUAACAGGGAGGCUUGAGGUCUCCCACUGAAGGGGUCCUAUCAGUGAAAGCAGUCUAGUCACUACCUAGAGAAAUGUUAUAAUAACUUUGGAGAGUUCCUUCCAAUGAUGGUUACAGAAAUAGAAUUGUUAGAGGGAUUGUAUUAUGUGUAGCAAGUUAUUCAAUGAGAUGAUAUAAGUGGACUUUUGUGUGAUUUAGCCAACGUGUGUGGAGAGGCCAUUUGACAGGUAUGAUAAGGGGCUUAUUGUAAGUGUAUCAGUAGAGGAUCAGUGGGGGAAAGGAGACCAAAAUGAAGGGUUUCGACCCGAAACGUUGACUGCUUCUUUCAACGGAUGCUGCCCAACCUGCUGAGUUCAUCCAGCUUUUUUGUACGUCUUGAUUAGACCAAAAGAGAAGAUAGGAGGGAAGAAACAUCAGAGGUGACACAUUCUGAGAGUUAAUGUAGGGUAGUAAUCACUUUGAGAAUGAGAGAGUGGUUGCUUGGAGCCAUGGCCUGAGAGCAGGAACCAGUGAAGGGAACCUAGUGCUGAGCUUUGUAUGGCAGAGGGCAGCAAGGAUUUUAAAGGGAGCAUAGAACCAUUGAACAUUACAGCACAGAAACAGGUCUUUUGGCCCUUCUUGGCUGUGCCAAGCCAUUUUUCUGCCUAGUUCCACUGACUUGCACCUGGACCAUAUCCCUCCAUACCCUCCUCAUCCAUGUACCUGUCCAAGUUUUUCUUAAAUGUUAAAAGUGAGCCUGCAUUCAACACUUCAUCUGGCAGCUCAUUCCACACUCCCACUACUCUCUGUGUGAAGAAGCCCCCCCUAAUGUUCCCUUUAAACUUUUCCCUUUUCACCCUUAACCCAUGUCCUCUGUUUUUUUUUCUCCCCUUGCCUCAGUGGAAAAAGCCUGCUUGCAUUCACUCUAUCUAUACCCAUCAUAAUUUUAUACACCUCUAUCAAAUUUCCCCUCAUUCUUCUACGCUCCAGGGAAUAAAGUCCUAACCUAUUCAACCUUUCUCUGUAACUCAGUUUAUCAAGUCCUGGCAACAUCCUUGUAAACCUUCUCUGCACUCUUUCAACCUUAUUAAUAUCCUUCCUGUAAUUCGGUGAUCAGAACUGCACACAAUACUCCAAAUUUAGCCUCACCAAUGCCUUAUACAAUCUCACCAUAACAUUCCAACUCUUAUACUCAAUACUUUGACAUAUAAAGGCCAAUGUGCCAAAAACUCUCUUUACGACCCAUCUACCUGUGACAGCAAUUUAGGGAAUUUUGUAUCUGUAUUCCCAGAUCCCUCUGUUCUACUGCACUCCUCAGUGUCCUAUCAUUUAUCAUGUAUGUUCUACCUUGGUUUGUCCUUCCAAAGUGCAGUACCUCACACUUGUCUGCAUUAAACUCCAUCUGCCUUUUGUCAGCCCAUUUUUCCAGCUAGUCCAAAUCCCUCUGCAAGCUUUGAAAACCUUCCUCACUGUCCACUACACCUCCAAUCUUUGUAUCAUUGGCAAAUUUGCUGAUAUAGAUGACAAAUAACAAUGGACCCAGCAUUGAUCCCUGUGGCACACCACUAGUCAAAGAGCGUACGAAGAUAGAGAAGGAGAAGGUGUCAAAGGAUGCCAGCAUUAAUAUUUGUGAGGCAUGAGUUUCAACUCACCAUGGCAGAUGUGAUUUAAAAAAUUAAAGUUUAUAUUUUCAGUAGUGUACGCAAAACUACUACACUUGUUGAAGUUAUUUGGUUCAUUAAAUACUUUUUGGAGAAAGAAUGUGAAAUGUGCUCAAAUACUUGUAUGCACAAGUGCAAUGAAAACCUUACUUGCAGCUGCCUCACAGGCACAUAGCAUCAAGUACACAAUAUUUGCAAGUAAAAAAAAAGAUAAAUUCAGCAUAAAUUAUACAGAAUAUGUACAAAGAACACAAUUCAAACUAAAAAUAACUCCAUUUACUGCAAAAUGGUCAAAGUGGUCACAGUGUGGCUACACUUAGGUAGUGAAUAGGGCUGUGUAGAUUGGUUCAAGAGAAGUAGGUGUUCUUGGAUCUGGCAAUGUGGGACUUAAGGCUUCUGCCCCUCCUGCCUGAUGGUAGCUGGGAGAUGAUAUCAUGGCUCGGAGAUCUUUGACGAUGGAUGUUGCCUUCAUGAAACAGCACCAACCGUCGAUCCUCCCAAAGUUGGGGAGUGAUGUACUCGUAAUAUAUUGGGCAGAGUCCACUACUUCCUGUAGUCUUUUACACUCCUGUAUAUUUGAUUUACCUACCGGACCAUGCUGUAACCAGUCUUUUGGAAUGUUCAGUGACAUCUAGACUGGUUUAGAUGUGAGAGAGUAUAUUUUCAGUAUAUAUCCCAACAAACAACACUCUUUGUAUCAAAGAGUGCCUUGAAAAGCUAAAAUAAAACUAAAACCAGCCAGGACGCAUAUUAUUGACUAAAGAACAAUUCGGAUAAGGCUCAUGCAACCCAGUGGACUUCGCCAAAUUAUUCUCAUCACCAUAUGGGGCACCUACUCAAAUGAGCAAAAGGUGCACCAUGGAAUGACCACCUGUGCUGCCAAAGUGAUGGAUUCCUCCAUCCUCAGCACGAGAUGCAUCUGUCCCUGCCAGAAUGGCUCCGAGGUGAAUCCAUAUUAUAUUGAAGUCUUAUUUUGUUGUCAAACAUGGACAAGAAAAGCAGCUCCUAUUCUUCUUCAAUGGAUGAAGCAUCUCUCCACGUUUGGUAACACAUGGAAGAAGUACAAAAGCCAGUGUGGGCACAGAAUAUUCACUGGUUGGGGUCUUUGCUAAAUUGGCUGAAUUGGGUUGCCUUGGCCACACAACACCUCAGCAUCUCAAGGUUACCAGCAAUUUUUCAUGGCAAGUAGGGCUAGACAAUAGACUCUGGUUUUACCUGAAAUACUCACAUGCCAUGAAUAAGUAAGUAAAUGAAGAAAACAGCAAACUAAGAUGUAAGGGCCACAUAAGUUACAGGGAAGAUGACACCUUAACAUAAUAUAGUAUAACCAUAUCCUUCAGCCUCUGCCUCUUAGUCUGCCUACUCACAUGAUAUUGACUAUUUGAUAUUUGUUCAAAUGAGCACUAUUUGUAGUUAUUUGACAAUGCAGGAAAGAGUUUAAGAAAUGGACAGCAGAUCUAGAAGGGGGCAUGAGAAGGCCUUGGUGAGUAGGAUUAAGGAAAACCCCAAGACACUCGGCACAUACUUGAAGAACAGGGGAUGACUAGAGUAGGACUGAUCAGGGAUAAAAGAGGAUGCAUUCACCUGGGGUUGGAGGAGGUAGGCAAAGUCCUUUAUGAACACUUUGCUUCAGUGUUCACCAGGGAGAGAGACUUUGAUGAACGUGAGGUCAGUGUAGAGCAGGCUUAUGUGUUAGAAUAUGUUGACAUUAAUAAAGAGGAUAUGCUGAAACAUUUGAAAAAUAUUAGGAUAGGUAAGUGUCUGCAUUUGGAUGGGAUAUUCCUCAGGAUACUACGGGAAGUGAGGGUAAAGAUUGCUGUGCCUUUGGCAAUGACCUUUGUGUACUUACUUGCUACAGGAGUAGUAACAGAAGAUCGGAGAGUGGCAAAUGUUAUUCCUUUGUUAAAGAAAGUUAUAUGGAUAACCCUGGGAAUUAUAGAGCAGUGAAUUUUACAUCAGUGGUGGCAAACCUUUGAAGAGAAUUCUUAGAGACAGGAUUUGCAAACAUUUGGAGAAGUAGAGUCUAAGUAGGGAUAGUCAGCAUGGCUUUGUGAGGGGCAGAUCAUACCUCACGAGCCUGAUUGAUUUCUUCAAGGAUGUGACAAACCACGUUGAUGAAGGUAGGGCAGUGGAUGUAGUGUAUAUGGAUUUUAGCAAGGUGAUAAGGUUCCCCAUGGUAGGCUCAUUCAUGGGCUUCCUCCUGGUAGGAAGCAUGGGAUCAGGGAAAAGUGGCUGCAUGGAUUCAAAAUUUUGCUUGCUCACAGAAGGUAGAUGGAGUGGAUUCUGUUUGGAGGUCAGUGAUCAGUGGUGUUCCACAGGGAUUUGUUCUGGGAGCCCUGCUCUUUGUGAUUUUUAUACUUGAUAUACAGUAGAUGAGGAGAUGGAAGUUUGCAUAUGGCAUGAAGGUUGGUGGUAUUAUGGAUAGCGUAAAAGAUUGUGGAUGGUUACAAAAGGUCAUUCAUUGGAUGCAAAUUUGGGCUGAGAGGUGGCAGAUGGAGUUCAAUCCAGGAAAGUGUGAAGUGAUUCACUUUAGAAGGUUGAACAUGAAGUCAGAACACAGAGUUAAUUGCAGGAUUCUUAACAGUGGAGGAACAGAGGGAUUUAGGAUCCAAGUCCAAAGUUGCUAUGCAGGUUGAUAGGGUGGUUAAGAAGGAGAUGGUGUGUUGACCUUCAUAAGUUCAAGAGCCAUGAAGUAAUGUUACAGCUCUAUAAACCCCUAGUUCUGUUCCUACUCAUUAUAGAAAGGAUGUGGAAGCUUUAGAGAAGGUACAGAGGAGAUUUACUGGGAUACUGCCUAGAUUAGACAGCUUGUCUUAUAAGUAUAGGUUGAGCGGGCUAGGGCUAUUCUCUUUGGAGCCAAGGAGGAUGAGAGGUGUACUAGAAGAUAAGACAUAGAGAUAGAGUGGGCACCCAGAGAAUUUUUCCCAGGAUGGAAAUGGCGAAUAUGAGGGGUCAUAACUUUAAUGUGUUUAGAGGAAAGUAUAGAGGAGAUGUCAAUUUUUAGGUGCUUGAAGUAUGCUAUCAUCACGGAUGAUGGAGGAGGCAGAUACAUCAGUGACAUUUAAUAGACUCUUAGGCACAUGGAUGAAAGAAAUAUGGAAGGCUAUGUGGGAGGGUAGGGUUAGAUUGAUCCUAGACUGAAGGGGUCUGUACUGUUCUAUGUUCUAUGGCUGGCUUUCAGAUUUGUCAGUUUUAUUGGGUAAGUGCAUGAGCUUUAAAAUUCUUGUCUUCUAUUAACGUCUUCUAAAUACUUCAGCUUCUGCCCUCUGUUAUCAGAGUACUGAAUGGUCUCCUACUACUAUAAAAUUAACUCUACACCUGACAAUCUACCUCGUUAUUACUUUGUACCUCAUUAUCUGCCUCCACUGCAUUUUCUUGAACUGUAACAUUUUAUUCUGUAUUGUUACUGUUUUCCCUUGUCCUGCCUUUGUUCACUAAUGUGAUGAAAUGAUCUGUAUGGAUGGCACACAAAACAAAAGUUUUCACUGUGCCUUAGUACAUGUGACAAUAAUAAACCAAUUUACCAAUUAAUUAAAUUUUUGCGAAGUGGCACAACAAUACAGCCAGAUGUGAUUAUAACGAGUUAUCUCAGAAUAUUCAAAUCUCACUGAAUUGACAGGCUAUCAAAAUCAGAAAAUAUUUGAGGUGGUAUCUCUACAUGUUACUGUGGAUUCUGCACUGAAAAUCUGGUGAAGAAUAUUACAAGCUGCAGCUGACAGUUAUUUGUGGAUUGUACUACAUCUUCUACUAUAAUGAUGGGAAUCUAGUUUAGCUCUGAUCUAAUUCUUCAGCAAUAUAUCCAUUGAAAAGUCAACAACUUGAAACAUUAACUCUGCUUUUGUCUUUCCACACGUGUUGCCUGACUUGCUCAGUUUUCCAAUCAGCUCCUAUUUUUUUUUAUCUUUCAGCAUCUGCAGCUUUUUGCUGUUGCUAUUUGCAAGGCUGAAAACACACUGCCCUCCAGCUUCCUACAUCAUUCAACAAAACUUUAAUUGUAGAGUAAUAAAGUCCAGAAUCAGGUCUUUCAAAUCAAAGUUCAAAGUAAAUUUAUUAUCCAAGUAGAUAUAUAUAUAUCAUGUAUAACCCUGAGAUUCAUUUUAUUACGGGCAUACUCAGUAAAUACAAGGAACAUAAUACAAACAAUUUGUAGAUUUAGUGAAAGACCACACCAAACAGGAUGGACAAACAACCGUGUACAAAAUACAAAAGAGAAAAGAUGAAAUAGUAAUAAGAAAUAAAUCAGCAAUAACUAUCGGGAACAUAAGAUGAAGAGUUCUUGAAAGUGAGUCCAUAGGUUGUGGGAACAGAUCAGUGAUGGAACACCCAUUCACACUAACCCUACACUUUACCCAUUCUAUUCUCCUCACAGUCCCAUCAGCUGUCAGAUUCUACAAUAGGUGCAAUUUUCCACGGGAAAAUAACCCACUGAUCUAUUGGUCUUUGGGAUGUGGGAGGAAACCGGGCACCUUGAAGAAACCAACACAGCCAUAGUGAGAACAUGAUCUCUGCACAGAGGACAUCCAAGGUCAGAAAUGGACCCAGGCCUCAGGAGCUGGGAAACAGUAAUUCUACUAGAUUUGCAACUCUACCACCCCCAAGUUGAUCUUCAGCCUCAGCUAUACUUAUUUAUCUAAAUUCAGUGUAUUAGAUAGAGAACAGCAAUCUUAUAUGAUCUCCACAUGGUGUUAAAUCAGCUGACCAAAGCUUCUCCAAAAUCAAUGGAACCCAUCACUACUGGGUCAGGCUCUCGAUGGCUUUAUGAGGUUUCACACAUUUGAUAGUAAGUCAACAUGCAAAAUUCAAAAGAAGCUCAGCAGGUCAGGCAGCAUCUAUUGAAGGAAAUUACAGUUAACAUUUCAGGCCAAAACCUUUCAUCAGGAGUGAAAAGAAAGUGGGAGGAAGCUGGAAUAAAAAUUGGGAGGUGGGGGAGGAAUACAAACUGGCAGGUGCUAGAUGAGACCAGGUGGGUGGUGGAGGGAAUGAAGUGAGAAGCUGAGAUGUGAUAGGUAAAGGGCUAAAAAAGUAAUCUGAUAGGACAGGAGAGUAUGGGAGAAAGGGGAGGGCACCAGAGGGAUGUGAUAGGCAGGUGAGGAGAAGAGGAAGGGUAAAAGGGGAGCCAGGAUGAAGAAUGGAAAAAGAGAAAAGGGGUAGGUUGGAGAAAUUACUGAAGGUUAGAGAUAGGCGAGUCCAGUGAGGGGGAAGGUAGGAAUGAAAGAAAAUACAUGAGAAGCUGGGAGGUGAAGGAGGAGUAAUUUGAUAGGAGCGCAGCGCUGGCAAUUAGGAGAGAUUACAGAGGGGCAGCAGUGAGAGAGGGUCUUACAGAACUCCCAUUGAAGAGAAGAGGAAAACUAUAUAUCACCUGCAUCACGUAAAAUCGUCGUAAAAUUUGUUAACUGCGGCAGUUGUACAAUGAAAAUAUAGAAAAAAUAAGUAAAUUAAUUACAGUAAGUAUUUAUAUGUAUAUUAAAUAGUUAAAUUAAAAAUAGUGCAAAAACAGAAAUUUUUUAAUAAAGUGAGGUAGUGUAAAUGGGUUCAAUGUCCAUUUAGGAAUUGGCUGGCAGAGGGGAAGAAGCUGUUCUUGAAUCGCUGAGUGUGUGCCUUCAGGCUUCUGUACCUCCUACCUGACAAUAACAAUAGGCCCUCACCCCAUCCCACUCGGGAUAGGGUUCCCCUUGUGCUCACCUACCACCCCACCAGCCUCCAGGUCCAACAUAUAAUUCUCCUUAACUUCUGCCACCUCCAACGGGAUCCCACUACCAAGCACAUCUUUCCCUCCCCCCGUCUUUCUGCUUUCUGCAGGGGUCACUCCCUACAUGACUCCCUUGUCCAUUCAUUCCCCCCCCCCCCAUUCCUUCUCACCAAUCUCCCUCCUGGCACUUAUCCUUGUAAGUGGAACAAGUGCUACACCUGCCCGUACACUUCCUCCCUCACCACCAUUCAAAACCCCAGACAGUCCUUUCAGGUGAGGCGACACUUCACCUGUGAGUCAGCUGGUGUGGUAUAUUGCGUCCGGUACUCCCAGUGCGGCCUUUUAUAUACGGACGGACACUGACUUUCUGAGGCACCACCCCUUGAACAUAUUUUGGAUAUUACAGAAGUUAGUACCCAAGAUGGAGCUGACUAGUUUUACAACUUUCUGUAGUUUCUUUCGAUCCUGUGCAGUCGCAACCACCCCAAGGUAUUAAGAUCUUUGAGGAUCUUACCUGGUUCCAACAUAUCAAUGCAGCUAUAAAGAAGGCAAGCCAGUGGCUAUAUUUCAUUAGAAGUUUGAGAAGAUGUAAUUUGACACCUGAAACACUCAAAACCUCCUACAGAGGUACUGUGGAGACCAUUCUGACAGGCUUCAUCACUGUCUGAUACAGGGUUUCUGUAGCUUCCAAUCCUGUGCAGUAGCCUCCCCCCUCCCCCAUUCCAGAUAGUGAUCACACAGAUUUGGUCCUGAUUAGAGAGGUCCAGGUUCUGAAGCUUAUCGAUCAGGACUCUGGGAAAUAUGGUGUUGAACAUUGAGCUAUAGUCAACGAACAGCAUCCUGACAUCCUGGUGUUUGUGUUGCCCAGGUGAUCUAAGGUCGUGUGUAGAGCCAUUGCGAUUGCAUCUGCCGUAGACCUAUUGAGGCGAUUGACAAAUUGCAGCGGGUCUAGGUUCUUGCUGAGGUAGGAGUUGAUUUUAGCCAUGAUCACUCUCUCAAAGCUGUUAUGGCAUGCACCCAUCUACGCCAGCUUCCAAGGUUCAGAUGCUCUAACUACCUGGAGUAUGGAAAGCUGGCACAGCCCCUUCAGGACCCUCCCUCUAAGUUUUGGACACCAAGGACUGAACAUUUAAGGAGUACCUGAACUGAGGUUUGGUGCUCAAUGGUAAGCCUACUCGUUAUUUUGUCUUGUAGUUGUUUUGUACUCCGAUCCUCAAUCCAGUUUGAAACCGUGCCUUGAUCCUAGUUUUGGAUACUCCAACAUUUGGGUCCAAGCCAACUUCGUCAAGGAUUCUCGUCACAAAAGCAUUUCUUCACCAUAGAUGUGAGUGCUACUGAACGAUAGUCAGUAAGACAGCUUACACUAUUCUUCUUGGACACGGAUUUAAUAGUUGUCCUUUUGAAGCAGGUGGGAUGAGGAUGAGGACCAACCAAUCAGGAGGGAUGGAUGACAGGGGUAUAAAUACCACCAGACUAGACGUGCCCUGGCAUCAUCCCUGAUGAAAAUGGCAGUCCUUGUCAUCGAAAUGUUGGUUAAAAUCGAUUAUCAUAAUUCAGACAAGGAAGCUUAAUCUCCCUCCAGUUGCUCAAUUUAAAAUUCAAAGUAGGUUUAUUAUCAGACUACAUAUAUGUCUCCCUGUGAUUCAGUUUCUGCAGAUAUUCACAGUAGAACAAAGAAAUACAAUAGAAUCAAAACAAAUCAAAACAAUUUACCUAUUUAACCUCACCCUCACCCUAUCACUGAUAAUUCUUUUACCCCAUCCCACACUACUGCAACCUUUACUGUAACUUAAAAUUACCCUUUUCAUCUCUUAACAGCUUCUCCUGCUUCUCUGAGCUAAAACCGUCUCUUCCUCCACAAAUGCUGCCUGAGCUGCUGAACAUUUCCAGUAUUUUCUGUUUCCAUUUCACACCUUACAAUACAUUUCCUCCUUGCACCAUUAGCACAGUAUGACUCCAGCGUGUUAAUUUACUACCUCAUCUUGAAUGCCAGGCAGCUGAACCUCCUUAACCAACCUCCCAUGCAGCGCCUUAUCGACAUCAUCCUGGAUGAAAGUUGCCUUCAUCAACUUUCCUGGUAACUUCCUCGAAAAACUCUAUAAAAUUGACUAGGCUUAACCUACCAUGCACGUAGCCAUGCUGAUUAUCACUAUUAGACCCUGUCUAUCCAAAUACUCUUAUAUCCAGUCCAUUAGAAUAACUUACCCACAACUGAUGUCAGGCUCACUGGCCUGUAAUUUCCUAGCUUAUUCUGAGAGCUUUCUUAAAGAAUGGAGAAACGUCAGCUAUCCUCCAGUCCUCUAGCACUUCACCUAUGGCUACUUAUCUAUUUAAUACUGUUUUUCUAUUACUGUCUUGUUUUUAUCUACCGCUUUAUUUAAUUACCUGAGAGGAAGCCAAACAGAGUUUCAUUGUAUCUAUGUAUAAUGACAAUAAAGAUCAUUCAUUACUGCCCAUUAUGCCGCUGGCAUAUAGGGUAGCAAUGAAGGUCCUCCACUUCUGGUAGUGUCAGGACUUCCUUCAUCAUGCCAGUAGCUUCUUCACCCAUGGCAAGAAGUAGGGGUUAGUAGGUUAUUGGUCAAGUGUGUAAUUGGGAGGUGUGGGAGCAUUAGGCUGGAAGGGACUGUUACCAUGCUGUAUCUCUAUAUAUUAAUUCACAGCAGAAUAGGCUUCACAACUAACUCAUGUUCUUGUUUGACUUCUUGAUUAUUAAUGAGUUGUCAGAUAACAUAAAUAACAACAGUGCCAAAUGUACUUUCCAUGUAGUGCAAAUGAAAAGUAAGUCUUUCUCUCCUGGCUAUUUGGUGAUGAUUGUUCUUUCAUCCCUGCUGCAGUGUCUACCAUUUACAAAAUGCACUGUGAUUACUCUUUCAGCACCUUCCAAACAUGCAACAUUGACGCUUGGAGGGACAAAGGCAGCAAGUGCAUGGACAUGCUACCAAAUCCAGGUUCCUUCACCAUCACUGGGAAUAAAUCCCAGAAAUCUCCACCUAAAAGCAGCUUCAGCGGGGGAUUAUCGUCACCUUCUCAAGGGUAACUGGGAAAGGCAGUGAUUUCUCAUCUGGUGAAUCGAUAAAGAUGCGUUCUUUAUGGCUAUGAUAAAAUAACCUCUACCUAACGGUUAAAUCCUUUUGUCUGACAGCUGGAGCUGUGAGUUACGCCGCACUGUGGAGUGGUGCUGCAGUAGCAACUUGGCACUCCAUAUCUGUAAGACGAAAGAGCUGAUUGUGGACUUCAGGAAGUGUAGACAAGGAACACAUACCAAUCCUCAUAGAGGGAUCAGAAGUGGAAAAAGUAAGCAGCUUCAAGUUCUUGGAUGUUUGCAUCUCUGAAGAUCUAACCUGGUCCCAACAUAUCAAUGUAGUUAUAAAGAAGGCAAGACAGUGGCUAUACUUCAUUAGGAGUUUGAAGAGAUUCGGCAUGUCAACAAAUACACUCAAAAACUUAUAUAGUUGUACCGUGGAGAGCAUUCUGACAAGCUCCAUCACUGUCUGAUAUGGAGGGGCUACUGCACAGGACAGAAAGAAGCUGCAGAGGGUUGUAAAUUUAGUUGGCUCUAUCUUGGGCACUAGCCUACAAAAUACCCAGGACAUCUUUAGGGAGUGGUGUCUCAGAAAGGCAGCAUCCAUUAUUAAGGACCUCCAGCACCCAGGGAAUGCCCUUUUCUCACUGUUACCAUCAGGAUUUCAAUUCAAGAACAGCUUCUUCCCCUCUGCCAUUCGAUUCCUAAAUGGAUAUGGAACCCUUGGGCACUACCUCACUUUUUUUAAUAUACCGUAUUUCCGUUUUAUGCACGGUUUUAAAAAUCUAUACAUACACUGUAAUCGAGUUAUUUAUUUAUUUGUUAUUAUUUUUAAAAUUUAAUUUAUUAUUAUUAUUUUUUCUCUUCUAUGUUAUGUCUUGCAUUGAACUGCUGCUGCUAAGUUAACAAAUUUCACGUCACUUGCCAGUGAUAAUAAACCUGAUUCUG
Molecule: RNA transcript, 14373 nt
Organism: Hypanus sabinus (Atlantic stingray)
Lineage: Eukaryota; Metazoa; Chordata; Chondrichthyes; Myliobatiformes; Dasyatidae
Gene name: endoribonuclease YbeY-like
Exons: 6
Source: RefSeq, a predicted model, not a curated record